GCCCGGAUGGCGGAGUGGUUAUCGCGCCGGUCUUGAAAACCGGUUUCCUUUGGAUCCCUAGGUUCGAAUCCUAGUCCGGGCG
This 82-nucleotide transfer RNA is filed under the name Candidatus Pacearchaeota archaeon. Its description in RNAcentral is "tRNA-Ser". It matches the Rfam family "tRNA". Rfam says of the family: Transfer RNA (tRNA) molecules are approximately 80 nucleotides in length. Their secondary structure includes four short double-helical elements and three loops (D, anti-codon, and T loops). The record is from RNAcentral. RNAcentral also lists the same sequence under 1 other name. Lineage: Archaea; Nanobdellati.